ACGAGUUUUGAAAUGGGUUGUAGCUGGCCUCAAUGAAAGGCAUGUGCACGCCCUGCUCAUCCACUCUCAUACCCCUGUGCACUUACUGUAGGCUAGGUGGGAUGAACCCCGAUCGCAAGGUUAGGGUUUUGAAAGCCUUGUCUAUGUUUUACUACAAACGAUUCAGUUAUAGAAUGUUACAUUAGCGUUUAACGCAAUAAAUA
RNAcentral lists this unclassified non-coding RNA (203 nucleotides) under uncultured Basidiomycota. Its description in RNAcentral is "sequence contains ITS1". The record is from RNAcentral. Lineage: Eukaryota; Fungi; Basidiomycota.